UGAGGUGGAGGAGGUACGACAUAUGCUAGCUCAUUUUAAAUAGAUCGUACAGGUCCUGUAACUCAUUGUUCUUUAGAGACUCUCUCUUUGAAUUUAUCCUCUCACUGUUUUUAAGAAAACAGCAUGUUUGCUUAUAAUCAUAUUGUGAACCACUGGGAAGAGAAAGUGACAUCCCAAAUCUUUUUGGGAUACCCCAUAAACAGACACUCAC
This 211-nucleotide long non-coding RNA is filed under the name Elaeis guineensis (African oil palm). Its description in RNAcentral is "long non-coding RNA (EGUI_LNC054354)". The record is from RNAcentral. Lineage: Eukaryota; Viridiplantae; Streptophyta; Magnoliopsida; Arecales; Arecaceae.